UGGGAUUACAGGCAUGAGCCACCGAGCCAGGCCACUUAUACACUUUCAACAAACUUUGACUUCAAAUAGAAUUAAUGCUACUAUCUGCUAGUCAGGACUGGCUACCUAAUGUGCUGGGCCCAGUGCAAAAUAAAAACGUGGGACUCCUUAUCCAAAUGAUUAUGAAUUUCAAGAUAACAAGACUAGAACAUGAAACCAAGUAUGGGGCGCUGUCUGCACAUGCCCAUGAAGCCAGCCCACCUGCCACUGUUACUCAAGGCAGUGAAAAUUCCUUUACAUAGGAAGUGCUUCUAAUUAUAAAUACUUAAUAGAUAGUUACGGGGAAUUGGUCUUGGAACCUCUGCAUUCGGCUCUCGAAAAUCAGCCCUCCCAUUCAUCUUUCCUGUAUCAAAAACAUUACAUAUUAAGUAUUAGAAACUAUCACUAGAUAGGUCAAAGUAAAUCAAGACGUAUGAUAUAGUAAAACUACUAGUCUACACAGCAAUCAAUCAACAAAUAUUUAUUAAACACUACUAUAUCUUACGUACUCCACAUGUAAAUAGCUAGAUGAAAAAGUAACAGACCUACUGAUUAAUUUGGAACUCACUAUUCAGGUUAAGUCCCUUAAUUGAAAAAGCAUAUGCGUUUUAUAAGUUUAUAAUUUUUUUUACUAUCAAGAUAUCAAUAAAAUAACAGACAUAUUUUUUCCUCCUGGAAGUGGGUUCUUUCACAUCCUAUGUUUUGGUCGUUUCUCGAAUCUAUGCCCAAUGAUUAGGAUAAUUCCCCAAAAUAGAAGAGAAAAAAAAUUUCAAGUCAUUUCUGAGCUUCCAUAUUAAAAAAUGAAAUAAUCAUCAGAAACAUUCAACCUCUCCCACAAAGGAGCACUCCAAAAUUAUGGAAUAACAAAGACGACAUAUCCUUCUCCCUGUGAGGUAAAACUAACAGCAAAUUCUGUAUCUCCAAAUUUCCUUCCACCCCAAGAAUAUAAGAAAAAAAUGCAUAAAAUUCCAAGAAUAUACAUUUUUUAUUUGGUUCUUUUUUUAAAAACUCAUAUAUUGGGACUCAGACCAACAGAUCAAGUAACCGUAUUUUACAGAACGUUUACGUGGGAUCAUGAUUAUUCUCAUUUUAAAAACAAUUUGCAUGGAAACAGGAAAUGGCAUACACAAUGAGGACAGCAACUGAGCCCUUCCAUAAUUCAUUCAGUCAAUAAGCCAUGAAGGCCUACUACAUGCCAACCCCUUAAUUAGAGAAAAGAAAUAAAAAAGGUCAGCUGAAUUCAUGGAUGGAUGGAGCCUGCUGAAUAAACUACCUUUACCCUACAACCGUAUGAGAAAAAAUGAAACCCUCUUAUUUCCCAUAACGGCAUCCUUCCUAGAAACACCAGGAAGACUGUCAGGGCUGACACGGCGCUUAAGACAAUACCAUUUUAAGUUCUUUACACAAAACAACGCUGGAUUAAAGCCUAAGCGGCCUACAACCGCUGAUUACCGCACUCCAUCCUCCACCCAGUGUCCGUCUCCCACCUGCCGUUA
RNAcentral lists this long non-coding RNA (1514 nucleotides) under Homo sapiens (human). RNAcentral describes it as "HSALNT0072057". Lineage: Eukaryota; Metazoa; Chordata; Mammalia; Primates; Hominidae. The record is from RNAcentral.